Molecule: transfer RNA, 75 nt
Filed under: Hyphomicrobium sp.
Lineage: Bacteria; Pseudomonadati; Pseudomonadota; Alphaproteobacteria; Hyphomicrobiales; Hyphomicrobiaceae
Also listed under: 7 other names
Description: tRNA-Thr
Rfam family: tRNA
About the family: Transfer RNA (tRNA) molecules are approximately 80 nucleotides in length. Their secondary structure includes four short double-helical elements and three loops (D, anti-codon, and T loops). Further hydrogen bonds mediate the characteristic L-shaped molecular structure. tRNAs have two regions of fundamental functional importance: the anti-codon, which is responsible for specific mRNA codon recognition, and the 3' end, to which the tRNAs corresponding amino acid is attached (by aminoacyl-tRNA synthetases). tRNAs cope with the degeneracy of the genetic code in two manners: having more than one tRNA (with a specific anti-codon) for a particular amino acid; and 'wobble' base-pairing, i.e. permitting non-standard base-pairing at the 3rd anti-codon position.
Source: RNAcentral
GCUGCCGUAGCUCAGUGGUAGAGCACUCCCUUGGUAAGGGAGAGGCCGUCAGUUCAAUCCUGACCGGCAGCACCA